UAUCAACAGAUCGCCACUAGUAUCACGCAUCAGCAGCAAGGACAGCUAAACAACGAAACCGAGACACACUCUAUUCGUCCUCGCUCUCACGCCGGCUUACCUUUUACGCCCUCAAUUCCUCCCGCCUCAGUCCCACCGCGCCCUUUGCAGGUUUUUUUUUUGCCGCACCCCUUAGGCUAGCAAGAUAAGAACGUUGACCCCGCUCGCACAUACAUCACAAUGACGAUUGAUACGCAGGCCGCACCCGCUGCUCAAACCUUGAAGGCCGGCAACUCCACAGGAUCUCUCACCGAGGAGCGCCGCGAGGUCGAGCAGCAGCGCGCAGCUGAGAACACGAGUUUUCGCCGUAUCGCGUCCUCGAAGCACGCCCAGCGAACCCUGCAGCCGUUGAACAACUUGACCGACAACAUGAAGCCCUCCCGCUCCACUAAGUCGAACUUGCGUCUCUCCAUCGGCGACCCCACUGUCGACGGCAAUCUAAAGACCCCCGACAUUGUAACAGAGGCAAUGGUAGAUGUAGUGCGCUCUGGCAAGUUCAACGGCUACCCGCCGACGGUCGGGGCAGACAACUUGCGCCAGGUGGUGUCGACCUACUGGCGCCGCUUCUGCCAGACCAAGUCUCGUCAAGAGGCGUUGAAGUGGGAGAACGUGAUCAUCACGUCCGGUGUGUCGCAGGCCAUCGUGCUCGCUCUCACGGCACUGUGCAACGAGGGCGACAACAUCCUCGUGUGCGCCCCAUCGUUUCCCCACUACAAGAGCGUCUGCGACAGCUACGGCAUCGAGUGCCGCUACUAUUACCUCGACCCCUCGAAGAGCUGGGAGUGCGACCUCAGAGCUGCGGCCGGUAUGGUGGAUAGCCACACCAAGGCAUUUGUCAUCAUCAACCCCUCCAACCCGUGCGGCAGCAACUUCUCCCGUGCACACGUGAGCGAUAUCAUCGAUUUCUGCCAGCAGCACCAGAUCCCACUCAUCAGUGACGAAAUCUACGCUGAGAUGGUGCUGAACAACGGCAUCUUCACGUCUGUCGCCGACUUCGACACGAACGUUCCGCGUCUCAUCCUGGGCGGCACAGCCAAGUAUCAGGUCUGCCCCGGCUGGCGCGUAGGCUGGUCUAUUCUGAUCGACCCAAUGAACGUUGCGGGAGACUGGGCUGUCGGAAUGGAGCGACUGACCCAGCUCAUCGCUGGCGUCAACUCUAUCUGCCAGGAGGCGAUUGCGCGGACACUGCUCAAGUGCCCGGCGGAGUGCACCGAGCACAUCGUCACUCAACUGGAGGCCGGCGCCAAAGUGUACGCCCGACUGCUCGAACACGACAUUGGCAUCUCCAUGGAGGCGCCGCAGGCCUCCAUGUUCGUGAUGCUCAAGCUGAACCUCAGCUACUUUCAGGAUUUGAAGUCGGACAUGGAGUUCUACGAGAAACUGCUGGAUGAGGAGAACGUGCAGGUGCUGCCGGGUGAGAUCUUUGGCAUGAGUGGCUUCAUUCGUGCAACGGUUUCCCGCCCAUCGGCGGUGCUGAAUGAGGCAGUCGACCGCAUCAUCGAGUUCUGCGAGCGCCACAAGAAGUAGAGAAAAAAAAAUACAAGCGGGCGUCUCUGCAUUCGAACAAGGGAGAGAUGAGCGACUGGCACACACACCGAGAGAGCAGCGAGAGCGCGUGAAGAGAGCAUGCUGAUGGACCGAGAUCGUCAUGGCACGGCGGAAAUGGAAAAGCAGAAAGAUAGAAGAGGGUAUAUGCGAGGAGAAGGUGGAGGAGAGGGGCAUCUGGCAUAUGCGCUGUUUUGAAUGGUGCCUGUUGGUGUGAGUUCGUGCGUGCGUGUGUGCAUGUGCGCGGGUGUAUGUGUGUGUGUGUACGUGCCAAGUUGUUAUCAUGAAGCAACACAAGAGUCAAAACCUUUUUGCAGGCUGUUGGCUUUCAUCUCGGGUCUUUCCCGAUUCCGCUCGUUUCUCGUUUUGUUUUUGGAUGUCCGGUCUCCCCUCCCACAUGGCCCCGGCCCUCUUGAAAGUCGAAGUUUUGGUCUCCCAGAGUGUUAUCCUCCCUCUUUCUCAGGGUUACCAAGCCUCCUCCUCCUCUCUCUGUAGCUGAUGGAGCUCUUUGCUCCCUCGAUCCGCCUCGCGCUUGUCCCCCUCUCCCCUUAUUACUUAUUUUUUGAGGCCCCUCCUAUCGCCUGCAGGCUUUUUUUAUCUCCGUGUGAGUGUGUCACGCUCUUUAGCGCAUUUCCUCCGCGUCCUUUACCCGCAGCGCCCGCUACCGCCUACACAGUUUCCCGGUUCCGUUUCCUUUUCCGGUCUGCGUUCAACGCGCGCUGCCUGUCGUGUGUUCGCCGCGAUGCAGACGACGAAGUAAAAGGCGCACACACCUGCACAGCCAGCAGACACGAAAAGGGAGAAAGAAAUGACUGGGACUUUGUAAGCGAGAAGAGACGGGGGGAAGGAACAUAUGCAGCCGAGUAGGGAAAACAAUAAACGACGCAUGCAAGCACACGCCGAGCUACACGCAUACGCAUAUGGUUGCAUAUGCUGAAGUAGGUGAGCGAGAACAGUAGAUGCAUGUGAGCCGUUUACCCUGGAUUUCUGCCGGUCCUCCGCUCCCUCCUCUCCAAAACAUGCAGACGAACAUGUAAGCACUCACCGAUACUGGCACUCAUAGUCGCCAGCUCGAAUAUGGUUUCUCUUCUCAGCUCUCCCUUCUUCUUUCUCUUCGCUCUCCCUCAUGAAGGAGCUUACGCGAAAUACAACGCAUGUUUCGCGGUUCUCUUCUUUUUCUGUGAAUUCGUUUCCGUGUGUGCGGACUUCCUUUGCUUUUCGCCACUACCUCCCCGCCCCUCCGUAUUUAUGUGUGCGCGUUCGUGUGCGUGUGCGUGUGCGCGUUUCCUCUUUAUUUUGUUGUUUUGGUCGUCUUCUCUUUUUUCCCGUGAUAUUCCUGCUGUUCCUCGUUAUCACUUGAGGUGAGACAGUAAGUGCGUUUACGCUUGUUUGCGUGUUUCUUCGCGCCACAGGUGGUGCAUGCUUCUUUACUUCAUUGAUCCUUGUUUUUUCUCUGUUUAGCUUCUUCUGUGUCGUAUUUUUGUCCUCAGAAACUCCGCCUCACCUCACCUCCGACACUUCACUCUUUCCCUUCUCUUCCCUUCCUCUCACGUUCGAAUCCUCUUUCCACCUCCUUCUUCCUGAGCUGCUCAUGAAGCACCACUGCCCCCUUCCCCCUCAUAAAAAAGGCCCUGCCCUCUUCCCUCUAACCUCUCGCGCGCACGUGUCUCUCUCUCGCCUGCCCACUGACACAAGCAUAGGUCCGUAAGCACGCCGCCGCCACCCUCCCCUCCCCUCUCUCCGCUGGGGCAUCUUUGUUGUAAAUUCCGCCUCCAGCGGAAGAGGGGAGGGGAUAACGGAGCGAAAAUGAGAGCAACGAGUUCGUUCUUUGCUCAUGCAUCGGGGGGUACGUAUUUCCCGUUUUGUCUCCAUAGUCGUGAAGGCGUGCCGCGUACCGCGUGUAAAAUAGGGUUGCGGGCAGGGAGAUCAAGACGAGUGAAUCAGGGAGGGGAGGGGAGGAAGCACACGAUACGGCUCGCAUUUUAUUUUCGCCUUGCAUGUUUUGGUUUGGCUACAUCUCUCACCCGCACACACACACACACUUCACGCUCUCUCUUUGUGUGUGUGUGUGUGCGGAUGGAUGGAUGGGACUGGUUUCUUCGCCUGGUAAGCGUAAACUGUUGUCUUUUUCAUGUUUUGUUUUUGUGUUACUUCCACGGAAAAGAAAAAGAAAAAUCGAAACGCAAUGGAAACAGGCGGGGAAUAAUCUCUGCAACCAUCGAAAAGGCCACCCUCAUCGCUGUAGUCUCUCACAAGCACCAUUUACAGGCUGUACGACGUACACAGAUGCCCGCGGAGACGACAAGAUGACAGGCGAAUGGCCCCUUUUUCAUUUUUCGAAUUCCAUUCUCGAUGCGGAUGAUGCCGGUCAGCUUUCAGUAGUACCACCGUCCAGUAGCCACCUUAAGGGGAAGCCAAGAGCCCGCAGACUGCCCUGGUAUAUGGCUGCGGGCUCUUGGUGUCGGUGAACAGGUCUGGACUAGCUCUGUGCGGCGGAAACUUGCGGCCGUCAUCACGUCACUGCCAUCCAAACGAUCGGCAAGGUAUCCGCGUGACUCAAACGCAUCUCACCCGCUCCUCGCUGGCUACUGGUGGUGGGUAGCCUGAGCGGCUGUGAGGCGACCUGCGAGGCAAUGGUGGGUAAAGUUUGAGGCAAUGGUGGUUCCCCCAUGGCCAGGUCGGCGCAUCGCUGUACCGCAUGUCUACGGCUCCAUCGCACCACGUGAUGUGGGGCCCGUAACAUGCCGGGGGAGUAAAGCGGUGCUCGACUCAUCCUGUAUGGCAGAGAAAUGGGCUCACGCUGCAAUAAUCAAAAAGCUUUUGAGCACAGAAAAGUCAAAAGUGGAAGACGAAGCGGAAAGCUGCGGGACUACUUCCCCAACGACACAGUGGUUCCCAUGGGAUAAAAAUGACCCAUCAGCUUCUUCCUCUUUGUUGUUUGUUUCGCUUCUUGAGUUUUUCCAACCCCACCCCCACCCCGCGUCCGUGUUGAUAGCGCCGAUGCCAUGCACCAGCACCGCGAUUCCGAAGCCUGCCCUUUUCUCAAGGGCAGGGGAGGGGGGAGAAGGUGUUUGUAUACGGGUCAUUUGCGCGCAAUGUCGCUCGCUGCGCUUUUUAUACUGAAAUGUUUGCUGCCGCCUGCACAGGAAGCCCCACAUAACAGCGCGAGUAGUUUGCAGACACAGGCAAGGAAGACGCAGAAGAAGCGAAUACGGCGCAGCAGCCGACAUGGGUGAAGGGUGAGGUUGGUUCUAAUGUACUUCAAACAAGGAAAAAGAAAGUUGCAUUUCCUCUCCGCCUUGUCAUCUUUUGUUUUCUUUUCUUUUUGGCGCGUUGUUCGCCCUUCUCUGGCCUUCGCGUUUGCCUUGGCUUGGCUUGGCUUGGCUCCACUCUUGUUCUUGAUUGAUUUUUGCGCUUGUGUUGUCUUCGACUCGUAUUUUGUCUCCCUGCAUUUCGAUUUGCACCUUCUACGUUCUUGGCCCCGCUACUCUGUUGCGCUCUCUGUCUCUGCCCCUAUCUCUGCUUACGCUUCCUCGUCGCCGCCGGGCUCUGCUCGUUUGCAGACGCACACGAACAGAAUCACGAGGGGAGGGCAGAGAGCGAAGAAGCGAUGGCGAGUCGAGUGGAGAGCAAAAAAGAAGGAAACGCUCCAGAAUUUGAUGAAAGUGCGGAGGCAACGAGAGUGACAGGGAGAAGGCAGAGAGAGAGCGACGGUUUUCCAAAGACGAGCAUUUCAGCUUGUGGGCGUUUUUCUUCUUUUUUGGUUCUUUUCAGCCGUUCAGCAGUACCCCGAUGCCCACGACAAACUUCCUUUGAUUUCUUCCUUCGUUUUUCCACCAUCCCUUUCCUGUACUCGCGCGUCACCUCUUUCUCUUUUUUUUUGGCGUGGUAACUUGAAACAAUUUAUACAUAUAUAUAUAUAUAUAUGUAUGCAUAUAUACGCAUCCGCGCACAGCACAUCGGGAAAGAGGUGAUGAGCCAACACAUGCAAACAGGAAAAAAAGGGAAGCUGUAAUUCGUAAAAGUAGACACACAUGCACGUCAAAGCCACAAGGAAAAAUGAGGCAAACGGAUGCGUGACACAAAACGACAAAACGCGCGAACGUUUCUUCCCUUGAAAAAC
Molecule: unclassified non-coding RNA, 5707 nt
Filed under: Leishmania donovani
Lineage: Eukaryota; Euglenozoa; Kinetoplastea; Trypanosomatida; Trypanosomatidae
Description: gene:LdHU3.36.3330(CDS-product:tyrosine_aminotran sferase)
Source: RNAcentral